Molecule: unclassified non-coding RNA, 5988 nt
Filed under: Hevea brasiliensis (rubber tree)
Lineage: Eukaryota; Viridiplantae; Streptophyta; Magnoliopsida; Malpighiales; Euphorbiaceae
Source: RNAcentral
CUUUGCGAUAUCAAAGAUCGCCCUGUCAAUACAUUGCAAUUGAAAACAUUAAUCAAUAUAUAUACAAUUUCUCAAACAUGCAUUAAGAGAUUUACUAAAGAUGCAGUGCAACUUAUUGGCAACUUGGCAACAUCAAUAAAGCAUGGUGAUUUCUGAUGGCCACAGGCCAGUUCUGCAGUGGUAGAGACAGCUAAAGGCCAGUUCUGCUGGUUCUGGUCAGUCCAUGGAACCAAAGGCCCUGAACUGUAAAGCAGGGGCUGGUUCCAGUUCCGGACUACAGGACUUAACUAGUUGUAUUCGCAAUUUAAAAACUGCUUCAACGGGCAUGCAAAUAAUAAGAACUGCACUGAUGGUAAUGAAAAAGACAGAAGAAAUGUACAUGAUAAAAACACUUAUGACAAACUAUAGUUAAUAAAGAAAUCUAAAGCUGCAAUUGGCCUCAGUAAAAAAUAUAUUACUUUCACUUUUUUUGACCAAUCAUUUGGAGAAUUCACCAAGGCUACUGGAAAAUUUAUGAAUUAUCAGAACAAGUGCCUGAAAAGCUAGUAAGCACAUCAACCCAUGUAACAAUGACCAGUAGGUGUUACCAUCCAUUUAUCCCAAGACAACCUAGAAUAAAGUGUACUUCAGUUACUAUGCAGCGACCACCAUGACCUUUCAGACCCAUCAUGCAAUACUAUGUAUGCAGCGACCAUCCAUUCCACAUUCUCAUAAAUCAUUAUACAGGAUGAGAUAGAUCCGUCAUGAAGGGCCAAUAUAGAUAUGUAUCAAGUGAAGGUGGAAAACAGGCCAUAUGUGUUGAAGCUGAGGUUCUUGUUAAGAGCACUGUCAUUCUACAAAUGAAACCAUGGCAUGAAAACAGGCCUAAUUUGAAGCACUUAUAAUUGAACAUCGGUCAUCAGUGCUUUGUGCCUAUCAGCAAUACAGUAUUGAAGAGGCCUUUUCUAGUUUUCUGCCUCAACAAGAAACCCUACCAUAAGGAAUUUAUAGAUAUGACACUGUAGUGUGAACUGCAUUCAACCUACAACUGAGCUCAGUUAAGAUUUUCCACUUAAAUGACCAAACCAAUAAUUAAUCUAUCAGAAUAAAAUCUGCUACCUUGUUGAAUCAACAAAAAGCAUCUGCCAACAUCCAAACGAGACACACAUGCAGAGUCUCUAAGCUGACUCAGGGAAAGAUAACCUGAUAUUUUUAUGCUUCCUAUGACAAGUGUGACACAAAUGCUUGUCAUUGCAUUUCAUAGUUGCUAACAGUAUAAAUAUGCAUUUACUUUGCUGUGCAAUGCAUAUGAAUAUGGAUAAAAUAUCUGUGAUAUUGUGACAGAGAGAACAGCUUACCAGUAUCCAACUAAAGUAGGCACAGCAUCAAGGACAAUGACACAAAUGAAAGUCGCAACUAUAGAUCCCCAAAUGGCUACAUGAGUAAUCCAACUCCACCGGAUGACGUCCAUGGCCAAGUGCAAAUUAACCAAAAUAACCACUGCAAGCGUCCAAAGAUCUCCUAUACUCGGUGCAUCAAUUGUGCUCCCCCAAUACGCAAGGUGAGGGAUAAAAUAGAUAACCACACUUUGCCACAAAGUGUCAAUCAUCGUUAGCCAAAACAAUUUAGAGUUGUAGCUCUCUUGUCUGCGCUCAGCUCCAUAAAGCUGCGGAUACUUUAGAAGAGUUCUUCUACUUAAGUCCUUAUCCAGAAUACCGACUACAAUGGUAGGCAGUGAAGUAUAAAUUAUAGAAUACAACAUGCUGCUCCAUUCAUUGAUAGCUGUUGUCAAAGUAAAACAGGUAAAGAGCACGUACCAAAAUAAAACAAGAACAAACACCGCAUUCCUGUAAAAAUUAUAUAGUAUCAUGUAGCCCAUCCGCUGGUAAUUCCAAUGUCCAUGCACCAAUAACAGUGGAACUAAGAAUCUAAAUUGCCCCAUUGCAAAAUCUGAUGCCAUUACAGCUUGCCGACCCUCUUUCCCACUGAUGCCAACUCCCACAUCAGCCUUUUGGAUCAUUGAAACAUCGUUAGCACCAUCCCCAAUGGAGAGUGUCAUGUCAGAAGUCCUAUUCUUUACAAGCAUAACAAUUCCAGCUUUCUGCAGUGGAGCAACCCGGCAGCAUAAUACAACUGAACAUUUACUGGCUAAUUUAAAGAGCUGUUCUUCAAGUUCACUGUCAAGUAUAUAAACAAGGCUGGUUCCAUCAAUAAUCAAGGCCACUGGGCUCACAGCAUCUCCAGAAUUUCCUCCAUUGUUGUGUGUUGUCCCAGACACAGUGAUGAGCUUCUUAGACAUGCGCAAGGCAUCUUCUAAACUCUUUCUACUUGACUCCUUAGAGUUGCUAUUGAUAAUAAUCUGUGUCAUUUUACUUGUUAGGAGCUUUGAGGAGUAGCCAAUUGAUAUAGCAGUUUCUUGCUUGUCCCCAGUUAGAACCCAUACUUUAAUCCCCGCUGUUCUAAGAGACUCUAUGGCUUCUGGGACACCUUGCUGUAGUUUAUCUUCAAUGGCAGAAGCACCCAGUAUUCUAAGACUCUUUUCCACAGUGUUAGCAACCUUGCGAAGCAUAGCAGCCCUGCCAAUUAAAGAAGUGCUAGCUGCCUCAAAGGAAGAGUGCCACUGCUCAAAUUCUGAAUCACUCAAUUCACGCAUCCCAAUAACAAGUGUUCUCAAACCAAGUGAAGAGUAAUUGUAUAGGUGUGCUUCAGUUGCACGAAUUAUAUCCAUGUUUAAAGAUCUAUCUAUUACACUAAACAUGGUGGUGUCAGCACCUUUUACGAACACUUUCACAGUCUUAUCAGGACACCCUAAUAUAACCGACAUCCUCUUGCGGUCACUAUCAAACUCAUGCAAACCUAAAACAUUGAACCUUUGCCUUUCUCCUUGAAUGUCAAUAACUAUAUGACCUGAAGUUCGUUCUAUAAGCAUAAAUCCAUAUGCAGCAGCAGCAUAAGCCAGUGCCUGUUCGUCUGGAGAUUCACCUUGGUAAUCCAUCAAUUUAACAGUAGGAUUGGAUGCAUCAUCAAAAGCAAUAGGUACAAUUGUAUUACAUGCUGCCAGUGCAAGGAAGAAAUCAUGAACACGUUUGGCUUCCUCUGUAUUGUUUCCACUUCUUGAUAAUUGUAGAAGCUCAGGAUCAAUCCUCACCUUCAUCUUUGGCCUCAAAAUCUUCCCAUCCACUUGAACAAAGUGUCCAACUUGUUCGUUCACUGAACUGUCUUUCCCACCACUGUAAUCUACUCCCCAUAUGCUUGCACAUUGAAAUUCCAUCUUGUUCUCAGUAAGAGUACCAGUUUUGUCUGAGAACACAAACUUGAUUUGCCCUAAAUCUUCAUUUAUAUUCAAAGCCCGACACUGAAAUGCUGAAUUUGAGGCCUCAUCAUACAUGAGUGUAUCUCGAAUCAUGAAGUAAGCCUGACCAACCCGAACAAGCUCCAUAGAGAUGUACAAAGAAAUAGGGAUCAUGAUCUGGAACACAAUAACUGACAUAAGGAAUGUGAAAAAUAUCUCCAGUCCCCAUCCAUAAUAAUUGUAGUCAUCCUUAUCUUCGUCAUUGAAGUUCUUUUUCCUAUAAAAGGGAAUGGUAUUCAAAUCAUCCCUGUGGCGCCUCAACCACACAGCAGCACAGAUCGAGACGAUAGUACACAAAGAAAUAAGAAAGAACGAGAGGAUGAUAAUCUCAAAAUUCAUGCGUGUUUCAAGCCGGCUCCUCUUUGAAGGGGCUCCUGAGCUAUUAAGCAUAACUUUGGUCUCGCGGCCACAAUAUACUGCAACACCAAUUGCCCAAGCAGUGUUCUUGAGCUCACAACCCCGAAGAACAAUAUUGGAGGACCCAAGUGACAGCCUUUUCCCAUCCAUAUCCAUGUUAGCGUGAAAUCCAUAAAUGUUUCUAUUGGGUUUCUCACAUUUGAUCAACACCCUGACAUUUUCCUUUUCAGGAGUCUUUGAAAGUGUCUCUUGCUUUGCAUACCGGGUCUUCAAGUUUGACUCUCCAUCCAAGUUAAUAGUCUGUACAUAAGCAACCCCAGUUGAAUCGCUCGUAGAGAGAAGCACCAUAUCACAAGGAAGAGUUUCAUUUGUGUGAAUCUUGAUUAUCUCACCAACCCGAAUAUCCUUCCAUUUCUUUUGUUGAAAUUGAUCAUUCACCAAAACCCAUGUCAAUCUAUUAUUCUCUAUUCUAUCUGACCUAUGCCGCCUCCAAUCCUCAUAUGCAUCCUUAACGGCUGUAACUAACAGAACAAAGGAAAGUGGCAAAAUGGAAACUCCCCUUCCAAAAACUGCUAGCUGGGGAAGCUGAUUAAGCACAGCAAUAAUAAGGAAAUAAAUGUAUGCAACUCUAUGAAAUUGCUCAAACAAAUUCCUAGGCACAAAGGAAAGGAUUGAAUAUUUCCCAGUCCGUAUAGAAUUCCCAGAAAAUUCAAACCUCUCAUUUGUCUUUUCAGGAUCAUUCACGUAUACCAACCUAGCAUCUUCGUCACUGAUCUCCUUCUGGGAACCACUAAAACCCUCCGAAUCAGCUCCUCUGGACCCGUACCUGACAGGUUUCGAUCCUAAAUCACCAAAUGUAACUUCCCUAACUGAAUUCCCACGAGAAGCCUUGGAAUGACUUGAGGAAUUACUUCUCCUGGACGAGGAAUUCAAAGUUAUUUCAAUGCUUGGGGAGCUCUCAAUUGGAUUUUUGGAAUCCAUAUUGGAAACGGAUCCGGAAUUGUCAAAAGCGGGUUUUGAUAACUAUGAGAAAACAGGUAUUGGAGGGAAAUCUUGGGUAUCAGGAGUUCUUGGUGAUGGGAUCAACAGUGGCCUCUUCGAGGCCAUUAUCUAAGGAUCAAACUCAUUUUUAGCAACAAAAAGCUAACAAACAAUCGAUCCGUGAAAUACCCAAUAAUAUAGAACGAAAUUACAAAGAACCAAAAACAAACACUAACACAGAUUCUAUAAACAAAGCAAACCCAGAAACAAGAACAAACUCAGGAACGAAAAUUAACUGUAGCUAGACAGAAAUCGCUAGAGUAAAAGAAAUAACAUGUGGAGCUCGAAACUUGUAUUGGAAAGAAACAGUCAGCAACAGCAGCAGCUAGUUGCAGGUAAAUACAGAGAGAUAGAGAGAGAAAAAGAGGCACAUAUAUUCUGAUAUCACAGAGAAUUGUUAGAGAUACGUGUUUGGAAAGCAGAGAGGAGAAUUGCAGAAAGUCAAUGCAUGGAAAAGAGCAGAAGAGGACGGAAACUACAAGAAAUGAGGAAGAGUCUCAAUGGGUGGCGACAAGAAGGAUCAACAAUCAAACGGAGAAAAAUCAAAAUCAGAAAGGGAAAGACUUGAACAAAUAAAGAAGAAAAAGAAAAAGGAAAAAAAAAAAUAAAUUGUUAACUUGAUUUAAAGGAGGAACAUCUCAACUUUUGGUUUCAAGUUGAUGAAUUUGCAGUUAUGGGGCUCUAAUUUUGAUGGUAGAGGUAUUGGUUUAGGGUUGGGGAUUGGAUGAAUAGGAGGUGAAUUUGGAGAUUCCAUGACAGAACCUCAAUUCUUCUUUGUUUGGUUUUUCCUUUAUCAUAAUUUGAUCUGUACAAGGGCUAAGAGAUUAGAGAUAUUGGAGAGGAGAAAAAGAUGAGAUCCAAACCAAUCAAAUGAAUGGGGAGAUGGCAGCAUGAAGGCAAGCAGAUUUUUGGUGUAUUUUAGAAAAACAUAAUUUUAUGAUUUUUUAUUUAGUAUUUACUUUUUAAAAAAAAAUUCAACCAAUCAAUGGCAACGUCUUCUUUCUCAUUUGUCCUAAAAUAGAUGGUUCUUACAUUGAAAGGGAAUUUAAAACGUGAGAGCUUUAGUUGCACGAGGAUUUUGUAGCUUGGGAUUUAAUUUGAAAGUUGCAAAAAAAGUUGGGACAAUUUUGCAAUUAAACCUUAAUAAUUUAGCAUAUACGAACAUAAACUGACCUUUUGUAGUAAUUUUUCAUCAGCAAGUUGCAAUUUAUGCUCAAGCUCCUUUACUUGCUUCUCCAGAAGUAUGAUUUCCUUGUUCU